ACCAUAAUACAGUCAACCACUCAUUAUUACCUCACAAAAGUGGUCUUGUUCAUGAUUCCAAACAUUUUCCUCCAACAGGGAGAUGGGCAUGGGGCAGAGAAAGAUCACCACUAAAUCAGAUUGAGCCAGUGGAGGACCAGAUACCUUUCUUCCUGAUGGGAUCUAGUCAGACAAAGCCCUCCGGCGAGGGAGUCCCCGUUUGAGCUAAGAGUCCACUCCAGAAGGGGCCACCAGCUGAGCCUGACCUCUCCAUGAGCGAAGAGGACAGAAGCCACUAAUUUGAUUUCUUUGGCUCUGCCUGAUUCUGCCAAGGGAGGAACCUGCCUGGAAGGCAGGUGUCUGUCUAUGCAGUCCCAUCAAGCAUCAAAACAGAGGCAAGCUGUUCCAAGCCUCCUAAUUCCCUCAGGCUCCCAGAAACUAAGGGAAAGAGAUAGAAGUGGGAAAAUAAAACCAGAUAUACAGAAGACAAGAAGCUAGAGUGUUCACUGGUAAAAGAUGAUAAAAUACAGUAGCAAGUGGGAAAAAACAACUGUCUCCGUCAGCCUCCCAGCAACCAACAAGGGUCCUGGACAAAAAAAAAAUCAAGGAACUCUUUCUCAACAGAACAUAUUUAUUUUUCAGUGAGACUAUUUACAGUCUUUGAAGACUUGGGGUAGGAAGUAAACAGGUUCAAUAAAGAACUGACUAUG
This is a long non-coding RNA of Monodelphis domestica (gray short-tailed opossum), 689 nucleotides long. RefSeq lists it as uncharacterized. The record is from RefSeq and is a predicted model, not a curated record. NCBI's taxonomy places the organism in Eukaryota, Metazoa, Chordata, Mammalia, Didelphimorphia, Didelphidae.